This 213-nucleotide unclassified non-coding RNA is filed under the name plant metagenome. Its description in RNAcentral is "partial contains small subunit ribosomal RNA, internal transcribed spacer 1, and 5.8S ribosomal RNA". The record is from RNAcentral.
UUUCCGUAGGUGAACCUGCGGAAGGAUCAUUAUCGUGGGGCUCCGGCCCUAUCGAGAUAGAACCCUUGCCUUUAUAGUACCUUCUGUUGCCUCGGCGGCUGCUUAAUCGCGUCGCCAAUGGGGCCAAUCAAUUAAACUCUUUGUAUGUAUCGAAGUAUUAGUCUGAAAAACAAACAAAAGUUAAAACUUUCAACAACGGAUCUCUUGGUUCUG